Molecule: non-coding RNA, 441 nt
Organism: Pimephales promelas (fathead minnow)
Lineage: Eukaryota; Metazoa; Chordata; Actinopteri; Cypriniformes; Leuciscidae
Source: RefSeq, a predicted model, not a curated record
UGUGACGGCGGGCUGCGCGUGACGCUGAUGACGUACUCUCUCAUCACCACAAGAUCCGCACGUACGCGUAAAAUACGAGUUACUGAGACAGACAUCCGGGUAGUUGGAGGAUAAAGGAAGAGCAAUGGAGCGCAGAUCGAUAGAUAGGCGCACAGGACUCCUCUUGGGCCAAUCAGCACCAAUGUUUUGGAGCACAGUCGCACAGUAUGUUACUAUCAUAGAUAUCAUAUAGAGACUAGAUACCCCAUUGCCCGCUGGAAAACGAGAAAUCCGGUCGCCAUCUUGAACCGGUCGUAUUCCUACUAGUCUGUUGCGUGGCUGGCAGCAGAUAAGAUGCCAGAGCACUGUGGAGCAUUUUCCUGUUCUAAUCGCCGGACCACCGAAAAUAGUGAUUUUCACAAGUGGCUGCGUUCGGUGGAUUCGGUGGCUGCGUUCUGUGUG